This 461-nucleotide ribosomal RNA is filed under the name uncultured bacterium. RNAcentral's name for it is "bacterial SSU rRNA". It matches the Rfam family "Bacterial small subunit ribosomal RNA", at positions 342 to 793 of the family's 1533-position model. The record is from RNAcentral.
GGGGAGGCAGCAGUGGGGAAUAUUGCACAAUGGGGGAAACCCUGAUGCAGCCAUGCCGCGUGUGUGAAGAAGGACCUUCGGGUUGUAAAGCACUUUCAGUAGGGAGGAAGGUAGUGUAGUUAACACCUGCAUUAUUUGACGUUACCUACAGAAGAAGCACCGGCUAACUCCGUGCCAGCAGCCGCGGUAAUACGGAGGGUGCGAGCGUUAAUCGGAAUUACUGGGCGUAAAGCGCAUGCAGGCGGCCUGUUAAGUCAGAUGUGAAAGCCCGGGGCUUAACCUCGGAAUUGCAUUUGAAACUGGCAGGCUAGAGUCUUGUAGAGGGGGGUAGGAAUUUCAGGUGUAGCGGUGAAAUGCGUAGAGAUCUGAAGGAAUACCAGUGGCGAAGGCGGCCCCCUGGACAAAGACUGACGCUCAGAUGCGAAAGCGUGGGGAGCAAACAGGAUUAGAUACCCUGGUAG